CUCCAUCGUUGGUUGGGUACAUUCUUGGAAUCAGCAAUGGUCUGUGCCAGUUUGUGCCAAGCGUAUAAAAUACCACUGUGUAAGUGGAGUGAAUCACUGGAAUUUUCUACCUAAGGGACAUACUGUUAAGUAACAAGAACAGGAAGCUCCAGGACCCCUUACCCUGGCUGAGGUGAGCUUCGAUAACAGAAGUCUGCCACUCGACGCGCAACGUUGUACAACUUUGCUGCUUCAGCCUCUGCCUGGGAUUGUUUUGUUAAUACGAGUCAUCCUUGUGGUUCCCUUGUCAACUUGGGCAUUACGGAGAGCCCGAUAGGAUCAAGGUUGUGUUUUACAUAUCUUGGACGGAUAAUGCGCAUCCUGAUUUGUACCUUUGGAAGACAGGUUUUGAGGACAACAGAAAACAGUGGCAAACCUCCCCUCUCUGAACAGAUUGCUGUGCUGGUGUGUGUGGAUGCCCCAAGGCUGAAGUUCCUUUCAAAUUUAUUUUUAAACUGCUUGGAUCCCCAACCUCCCACCAUCUCCCAUACGGCAAAUUCUUAAUGGUGCUGUUUCAAAAGAAAUCUGUGGUUGCAAUGUGAUGAUGAAAGGAAAAGAAUAUAAAGAGAAGAGAAAUAAAAUUUAUCUUAAAAGAUCUUUAUUUGCUCAGAAACUGUAUUUAGACAUAAAUAUAUGUAAUAUAUCAAUCUAUUUCUCUUCGGUCAAAAUUAAUCAUUCUUCCCUGUUCUUUCUUAUCCUUUGUUAGACCUAUAUUAUGCUGAUGUUCUGGUUGGAUUUGAAAUAUUGUUGGACGUGUCUUUCUAGCUCACUUAAUAGCGAUUCCUUGGAAAGUGGGGGCCAGGCUUUGUGUCUCCCCCCCACAGGAUGCUUACCAGUGUAUGUAAUAGAUGCUCAAUUAUUAUAUAUUGACUUGGAUCCAGCAUUUCAGACCUUUGGAGGAGACCAGCUGCUAGGGUAAAGCUGUUGGGGACUGCUAAAAAUCUAGUUUAUGAAUUGACUGGAUGAAACGCUACAUGGUAAACCAAUGAACACAUCUCACAUGCUGAAGUAUUUUUAAGAAGGCUGUCUGGGAAAUCAUGCCACUAUCUUCAGGAGGGGUCAAGAGUGACUUGAAGUGUGGGCAUCUCUUUAAAUCUGCACUCCUUGGCUGGGCACUGGGGACGUGUGCUGUAAGCUAUAAAGAAACAAAGCCCCCCGGGAAAUCGUGCUGGUCAUCCCUUCGAGUGGAGCCCAGAGGCGGGAAAACAUCUGAGCCAAACUUUCUCUUGACUCUGCUCAGAACUCACUGUGGGGUUCUGGGCAUUUCAUUUCCUCACAUGGGCAAUGUUGUGGGCCAUCUUGAUUCCUGGCCCUCCACCCCAAAGAGUAGCCCCCUGCGGUCGCUAAGUAAACUGCGGAAAGCACACAGUGCAGUCAAUCCAGGCUGCGCUGGCAUCUCCUGGGGAGCCUGAAACCAUGCAUGCCGAUGCCUGAGCUCUAGCCCAAGAGUUCUGGUUAACCGGCCUGGGGAGGGGCCUGGACAUCUGUAUUUUGUAAAAGCCAUCCAGGUGAAUCUUAUAGAGCUAAGGGACCCGAGGUUGAGGAGCACUAUGCCAGAGUAGUAAGAUGAACACCAGCUCAGCAGCAGCAGCGCAGCCGCCACCACAGCAACCCCGAGAGCACCCGAAACAGUAACAGAGGAGCCAGCCUUGGCUGGGAGAGUGCCAGGAAAGGAAGAUGCUCGCUUGGAUCCAGGCUCCACCUGGCACUGGCUGGGACCACAGACUCACUCUUCAGUCAAUCAGCAGGCUAGCACACAUUUGUUCAGUGCAUGCUGUGUGCUGCACGGGGCAGCGGACAGGGCAUGCGGAGUAACAGGCCCCAGCCUCCCCUGGACACGCAGAGUCAACAUGACAGAGGUGUGAACCGGAUACAGAGGGCACACAUUCCACCUGGGGUGUGACAGGAAAGACGAAAUAUUAUCGGGGAAGGAGCGGUGGAGGUUGUAGUGGCUGGAUAUCAUUUCAGAAGAACCUGUCAUUUUUCCAGGAGAAGAGACUGUAAGAGGAAAGUCCUGGAGGGAGCUGGGCAAGUUACAUUGUAUUUGAUUCCUGACUACUGUCUCUAAACCGAGGAUUCAAAUUGUUAGACUCAAUUCAUGACCUUGUUGGAAAUUUCCAGCCAACCCACUGCUCAAUCACCUUAACUAGGAGAAAAUAUUUUAUGAUAUAGUGGAAACAAAUGAUAACAGUGUUGAGAGGGACAAGCUUAACACAGAAUCCAGACUUCACACGUUCACGUGGGGGAGAUAGAAGUCGCGGAGUAGGCUGAUUUCUGAUGACAACCUGAUUUAAUUUGCAAUAUGACUGCAUCAGUGGCUGCUCAAAAAGCUGUUUCCAACAUUUUGCAUCAAUAUAGCAGCUCUGGGAUCCUGAAGAAAUUUGUAUUUGCUGUCUAAGACCGGAAGGGUGGAGGAAUACAGCUACCAGUUACUGAACAGCUGCUACCUUGAGAGGGACUGACCGACAUCGAGGACCGGGACUCCAGAACCCUGCUUUUGACCGGGAGACCUCCCAACUGGGAGCUCAAAUAAAUACGAGUGUGUUCGUUCUCAAUACUGGAACCCGUGAGCCAAGCUGCAUUUUACGUCUGCAUCCUCUACCCCCUGUUACAGGAGCCUGUUGCCUUUAACGAACCUGAGUCAGUCUAGCGAGGAGAACUGCUCGCCAGGGCUAAUUAUCAUCGCGGCGAUGUGAGUAAAUGAAGGAAAGUGAGUCAUGCACUAGGGCGGUUUUAUGACGGCUGUGAGGGAAGGCAAAUCAAAUGUACGCAUCUAAACUGCAGGGACCUGCGAGCGGCUGAAUCAUACGUCCGAGUGAAUAUGAGUUUUAUGGCGUGCGCCUGGAGAUCCUUAACAUAAUUGUCCUGCUGCUUUGGUCAGGCUGUUCUCUGCCCGGAGGCCCAGUGGUGACCUCUCCAAACACGUCAAGUGGAGCCCUGAACUCUUCAAAUGGAGGCCACCCAUCUUGGGAAGAAAGACAACAGAAAAGAAAGAAAGAGAGUGGCGAAGUCAUAUUUCCACUGCAGAGUUGCCUGAAGAGCUCGCUCCCUUCCUGCCCUGGCUCUGUUCCCGUCAGUGCAUCCCUUGUAGCGAGUCUUAGCUCAGCAGCCUUCACGGGGUGGCCUACAGGGCAAUGAAGUGACCCAAGAAAGAGGAUGGCAUUUC
This is a long non-coding RNA of Equus caballus (horse), 3205 nucleotides long. The record is from Ensembl. NCBI's taxonomy places the organism in Eukaryota, Metazoa, Chordata, Mammalia, Perissodactyla, Equidae.